Molecule: transfer RNA, 74 nt
Filed under: Candidatus Peregrinibacteria bacterium
Lineage: Bacteria; Candidatus Peregrinibacteriota
Also listed under: 1 other name
Description: tRNA-Gln
Rfam family: tRNA
About the family: Transfer RNA (tRNA) molecules are approximately 80 nucleotides in length. Their secondary structure includes four short double-helical elements and three loops (D, anti-codon, and T loops).
Source: RNAcentral
UGGGGCGUCGCCAAGUGGUAAGGCACCGGUUUCUGGUACCGGUAUCGGGGGUUCGAAUCCCUCCGCCCCAGCCA